This 545-nucleotide long non-coding RNA is filed under the name Citrus sinensis (sweet orange). RNAcentral's name for it is "long non-coding RNA (CSIN_LNC003987)". The record is from RNAcentral. Lineage: Eukaryota; Viridiplantae; Streptophyta; Magnoliopsida; Sapindales; Rutaceae.
CAGGAGAGAGAGGGGUAGCCCUGAUUAUGGUCGUGUUAGAAGCCCAAGUCCCUAUAGGAGGGAUCGGGGUAGCCCUGAUUACGGUCGUAACUCCAGCCGCAGUCCUUACAAGAAAGAGAGAGCUGCUAUUGGUCAUGGUCGAGGCCCUAGCCGUAGUCCUUAUCGGAGGGACAGAGGUAGUCCUGAGAAUGGUCAUGGAUCCAGUCCUAGUCCUUAUCGUAAGGGGAAACCUAGUCCUAACAAUGGUCGUGGCCCCAGCCGCAGUCCAUAUGAAAGAGAGAGGCCUAGUCCUGAAAAUGGUCGUGGAGGCAGCCGAAGUCCCUAUAGAAGAGAGAGGCCUAGCCCUGACAAUGGUCGUGUUCCCAGUCCAAAUUCAAUGCCUGAACCUAGGGAUAGCCCUGGUUAUGAUGGAGCUGACAGCCCUAUCAAUGAGAGAUACCGCAGGUUUGUUUGGUCAUCUUUGAUUUAUGUUCUGCUUGUUUUUUAGCCAUCAUAUCUUUAAUUGACAUAUUUCUCUCCAUGCUCUCUGUUUUGCAGUCGUUCAC